CCUACGGGAGGCAGCAGUAGGGAAUAUUGCUCAAUGGGGGAAACCCUGAAGCAGCAAUGCCGCGUGGAGGAUGAAGGUUUUCGGAUUGUAAACUCCUUUUGUUAGAGAAGAUAAUGACGAUAUCUAACUACUAAGCACAGGCUAACUCCGUGCCAGCAGCCGCGGUAAUACGGAGGGUGCAAGCGUUACUCGGAUUCACUAGGCGUAAGGGGCGUGUAGGCGGGUUAGCAAGUCAGAUGUGAAAUCCUAGGGCUUAACCAUAGAACUGCAUUUGAAACUGUUAUUCUAGAGUAUGGGAGAGGUAGGUGGAAUUCUUGGUGUAGGGGUAAAAUCCGUAGAGAUCAAGAGGAAUACUCAUUGCGAAGGCGACCUGCUAGAACAUAACUGACGCUGAUGCGCGAAAGCGUGGGGAGCAAACAGGAUUAGAUACCCUAGUAGUC
RNAcentral lists this ribosomal RNA (440 nucleotides) under uncultured bacterium. RNAcentral describes it as "partial 16S ribosomal RNA". It matches the Rfam family "Bacterial small subunit ribosomal RNA", at positions 338 to 795 of the family's 1533-position model. The record is from RNAcentral.